GGGCGAAUGGUCUAGGGGUAUGAUACUCCCUUCGCAUACAUCCUAAAUCUGGGAUCUUCGUGCUUGGGAGGGGUCCGGGGUUCAAUUCCCCGUUCGUCCA
Molecule: non-coding RNA, 100 nt
Organism: Xylaria sp. FL0933
Lineage: Eukaryota; Fungi; Ascomycota; Sordariomycetes; Xylariales; Xylariaceae
Source: the annotation of a GenBank genome assembly